CAGUAGCCGCGGGAAUACGAAGGGGGCUAGCGUUGUUCGGAUUUACUGGGCGUAAAGGGCGCGUAGGCGGACUGAUAAGUCAGGGGUGAAAUCCCAAGGCUCAACCUUUGAACUGCCUUUGAUACUGUUUGUCUUGAGUUCGAGAGAGGUAAGUGGAACUGCGAGUGUAGAGGUGAAAUUCGUAGAUAUUCGCAAGAACACCAGUGGCGAAGGCGGCUUACUGGCUCGAAACUGACGCUGAGGCGCGAAAGCGUGGGGAGCAAACAGGAUUAGAUACCCCUGUAGUCCCUGUCUCUUAUAC
This 301-nucleotide ribosomal RNA is filed under the name uncultured bacterium. RNAcentral describes it as "partial 16S ribosomal RNA". It matches the Rfam family "Bacterial small subunit ribosomal RNA", at positions 509 to 807 of the family's 1533-position model. The record is from RNAcentral.